This 103-nucleotide microRNA precursor is filed under the name Marmota monax (woodchuck). The record is from RNAcentral. Lineage: Eukaryota; Metazoa; Chordata; Mammalia; Rodentia; Sciuridae.
GCACAGAUCUCUUGGGGCUCUUGUUAAAGUGCAGAUUCUGGUUCAGCAGGUCUGGGAUGGGUCAGAGAGUCAGCAUCUCGGACAAGAUCUCAGGGAUGCUGAU